Macrobrachium nipponense is the source of this 2326-nucleotide RNA transcript. It is a transcript of the gene named basic proline-rich protein-like, with no coding region annotated. Lineage: Eukaryota; Metazoa; Arthropoda; Malacostraca; Decapoda; Palaemonidae. The transcript has 10 exons. The record is from RefSeq and is a predicted model, not a curated record.
CUCGCAUGAAUAUAAUCUCACUCCUCAGUCGGUUUCGUGAACUUGUGGCGAGAGGAGGUUCUACUCUGUCCGCGCUACAGCCGAUGCUACGGCGUAUUCCAUGUAGUUUUUGAAUGCCAGAAAAAUCGAAGAUACUCGAGCUUCAAAAGAGACGAGGACAAUGAUACCAGGGUUGCCUUCGUGAUACCGUCUUUUCCCGUCAGUUUAGUCCUUUUUCUUCUUCUUCUUCUUCUUCUUCUUCUUCUUCUUCAGUCGUCCACGCCAACAGCCAACAGAACCUCGACAGUGAAAGAUGCAGUCUGUAAGGCUCAUUCUCCCGCUUUCUGUGGUUACCUCCGUUUUCUUCGUUACGUCACUUGCAACUCGUAACGGGGGAGACCAAAGCAAAUUGAAGGGGAAAUCGUUACUGUCGCAAGAUGUUCACUUGGCUGACAACUUAGCCGAAGAAAAGGAGGAAAAUUUGGGCAGCCUGGCUUCACCAUCACUGGUCAAUCCAAAGUGGGCUUCACAUAUCUCACAUGGACACACAGGUCAUAAGGCCAAACCUUCCUCAUUCGAGUCUAGUUUCCAGUGGCGUCCUUCCCAAACCAUUCCGGACCACUUCAGUGCCGUCAUCCCUCCAAGUUCAUUCCAGAACAGAGGUCCCGCUCUAGUUCCCUUCCGCAGCGAAGAGGGCCUGUCGUUCUUCGAGAACCAGAGCACCCAGAAUUCGCAAUUUGGAGGAGGACCAGUCGACAGACCUCUAAGAGAAACCUUUGCCGAAGAAAGGCAGUUUCGCCCUGAAAGACCUCCACUACCACCACCACCACCAGGUCAACCACUACCUCAAAGGCCACAAAGAGGACCACCGAGAAAUUUGGGGAGGCCCGUUUUCCUGCAGGACAACCCCGCUCUUUCUCCACCACCACCUCCUAGGCCGACUCCCUCCAGUUUUAAUCUGCCUACGCCAACACAUCCAGAUAUUAGUUUAAUACCACUUCAGGAUUCUGGGGUUUCUGGCGUCAACGACUUGCUUGAGGAGAGAUUUCCUCCAUUCAAUGACGAACCCUUGUCGCCUGCUCAGCUUGCAGCCGUGAGCCGAGAUCCAGCCGUAACAACUCAGCAACCUUUUCUUCAGUUCAUUACUCAAGAUGAACCUCUGCCAUUAUCCCACCAGAGUCCUGGAGAGCUAACUCAGCAAGUUCCCUUGUCCCAGCUGCUUGAGACUCCCCGUUCUCAUCCAAGGCAGAACAGCACUAAUAGACCGAGGCACCUAGGGUCUCUUUUUCCACAGUCGCAGCAGCAAAGGGUCACUCCCAUAACACAACAGCCAGCAACAACACCAACACAAAAGCCAACACCACCUCCCACUCAACCAAUUCGCGUUGAACCUUCUCAGCCUCCGCAGUCACCAAAUGAUGUAACGCAUGGCAUCUUUCCUGGCUUAAACCCCUCCCACCGGCCUUUCUUUGAAGGACCUACAGCACAAUUCUCUUUCGAUGGCCUUUCUGGACCGUCUUUUGAGCAGAUUCCACAACUCUUACCUCCUCCCCAAUUCCCUCCUCAGGAGCUGAACCACAUACCCCAAGAACCUCCUCUGUCAUCAGCUAAACCCACAGUCCCACGGCCUCCCAGACAGAAAACCCAGCCUGGAUUUCAGCAGCCUUUCCGACCGGCGCCUGCACAAAAGCCCACCGGUCAAGAGCCCCCUGAGGAAGAAGCCUUCCCACCUCAGAAUCAACCGUUUACCGCACCUAACCCCCUCCCACCUCACUCAGACCCUUCACCACCACCAGCACCAUCUAGUGGACCCACGGGACGACCAUCAUUCCCGUUCCAGUUCCAAAGACCUCCUCAGAGACCUGCAAGAGGACAGCCUAACUUUCGUCCACCACCUCCCCCUCCUCUUAGAGGACGGAGACGUCCAAUUCCGGUCAGGAUACUGGAUCCAAGGCGGCUUAGGCAACAAACAACUCCACCUGUUCCCCAAAACGUCGCCAGCAGACGACCUAGGAGCGAGGGCCCCUUCCAGGCAAGAGAGCACUCCGCAGAAGGCCAGUUCCAGCAAGGACUGAUCUCUCCCUUCGCGUCAGGCCAUAGGUCAAAUGGACAGCUACAGAUCGGACUACUCAGACCCUCCCAAAGCGCAUAGUCUGUCGAGUGGGUUUCAGAUAACAUUGCCGAACCAUACACACGUCACUGAACACAAGUUUGGGCUGCGCUUCAGUAUGUCUUCGAACCUCCAAGGCGGACCACCCAUGCCGCUCGUGGGCGUCGACUUCGAUUCUGACGUGGUUUCCAGGCCACGCGAUCCUUACCAAGAGAGGAAGAAGAAGGCAUUCUUGAA